UACAGAGGUCUCAAGCGUUGUUCGGAUUCAUUGGGCGUAAAGGGUGCGUAGGUGGCGCGCUAAGUCAGGUGUGAAAUUUCGGAGCUUAACUCCGAAACUGCAUUUGGUACUGGCGUGCUUGAGGACUGGAGAGGAGACUGGAAUUCAUGGUGUAGCAGUGAAAUGCGUAGAUAUCAUGAGGAAUACCAGAGGCGAAGGCGGCUACCUGGACAAUUGCUGACGCUCAGGCACGAAAGCGUGGGGAGCAAAAGGG
RNAcentral lists this ribosomal RNA (253 nucleotides) under uncultured bacterium. RNAcentral's name for it is "partial 16S ribosomal RNA". It matches the Rfam family "Bacterial small subunit ribosomal RNA", at positions 524 to 776 of the family's 1533-position model. The record is from RNAcentral.